Cyanistes caeruleus (blue tit) is the source of this 770-nucleotide long non-coding RNA. RefSeq lists it as uncharacterized. The record is from RefSeq and is a predicted model, not a curated record. NCBI's taxonomy places the organism in Eukaryota, Metazoa, Chordata, Aves, Passeriformes, Paridae.
GUGGUGUUCACAAGUUGAUCUCACUUCUGAAUGGUUAAAACCGCCGCCAAUUCUCAGAAAUUACCAAUAAUUGGUCACAAGAAAAGACUCCCAUCAGCCACCAGCAGCUUCAACUUCCUUAGCUCCCAAAGCUAUCUUAAAGGUAAAGUCACCCUACGACACUUGUGCAUCCUCAGCCUACAACAGCUAAACCACUGAUGUGCUAUCACCGUUAUCUGGCCACAAAUCUUGAAAUACAUCACCCCAAGGGCAGCUUACCCCAAGGUAUUUCCUUCCCAGCACUUUUAGGAGCAGCACUGGGAAUUUUCAGGAAGCAGGAAAAAGAACCUUCCAGCAACACUGCAGAAUCAUCCAAAGAGUGAGAGUGAGGUCACCUCUGCAAGUAGAGGGCAAAUUCCUGGGAGAUAUUUCAGCAGCACAUACCUGUUUGGUAUGUUAUUAUGUUUGGCCUGCUCACCAGCUGUCCAGCACAUAAAAGAGUGCAAGGAGGACAGAUGGAAUGUAAAACAGGGCAGGUGAAGAAGGCUCGAAUACAAAUUUGUAACAGUACCUUAAAAGUCAGAUUCUAACCUGCCCAUUUCUCUUCCAUUUCCCUUUGAAAGAACACCAGUUUCUGGAGAGUGGAAGGAGGGAAUAUUGAAGUAGGUCACAGCCUUUGGUGACAUAACUAUGCCAGUCCUUUCAAACUAUCCCAACAGGCAGAUCAUCCAUAGACUGGAAGGAAAAUGAGAAUCCAAUUAAAGCCAAAAUAAACAGAUCAAUACUUUGUA